GAGUUUGAUCAUGGCUCWKGACGAACGCUGGCGGCACGCCUAACACAUGCAAGUCGAACGGAGAUAUUUUGGUUUACUGAGAUAUCUUAGUGGCGGACGGGUGAGUAACACGUGAGCAACCUGCCUCUGAGAGAGGGAUAGCUUCUGGAAACGGAUGGUAAUACCUCAUAACAUAACGAAGCCGCAUGACUUUGUUAUCAAAGAUUUAUCACUCAGAGAUGGGCUCGCGUCUGAUUAGAUAGUUGGUGAGGUAACGGCCCACCAAGUCGACGAUCAGUAGCCGGACUGAGAGGUUGAACGGCCACAUUGGGACUGAGACACGGCCCAKACUCCUACGGGAGGCAGCAGUGGGGAAUAUUGCACAAUGGGGGAAACCCUGAUGCAGCGAUGCCGCGUGGAGGAAGAAGGUUUUCGGAUUGUAAACUCYUGUCUUAAWGGACGAUAAUGACKGUACUUU
Molecule: ribosomal RNA, 457 nt
Filed under: uncultured Bacillota bacterium
Lineage: Bacteria; Bacillati; Bacillota
Description: bacterial SSU rRNA
Source: RNAcentral